RNAcentral lists this ribosomal RNA (1402 nucleotides) under Burkholderia contaminans. RNAcentral's name for it is "23S ribosomal RNA (partial)". It matches the Rfam family "Bacterial large subunit ribosomal RNA", at positions 178 to 1630 of the family's 2925-position model. Lineage: Bacteria; Pseudomonadati; Pseudomonadota; Betaproteobacteria; Burkholderiales; Burkholderiaceae. The record is from RNAcentral.
AGCGAACGCGGUGAACUGAAACAUCUAAGUAACCGCAGGAAAAGAAAUCAACCGAGAUUCCCAAAGUAGUGGCGAGCGAAAUGGGAUGAGCCUUGCACUCUUUAUUUGUAUUGUUAGCCGAACGCUCUGGAAAGUGCGGCCAUAGCAGGUGAUAGCCCUGUAGGCGAAAACAGUAUGAAAGAACUAGGUGUGCGACAAGUAGGGCGGGACACGUGAAAUCCUGUCUGAAGAUGGGGGGACCAUCCUCCAAGGCUAAAUACUCGUGAUCGACCGAUAGUGAACCAGUACCGUGAGGGAAAGGCGAAAAGAACCCCGGGAGGGGAGUGAAAUAGAUCCUGAAACCGCAUGCAUACAAACAGUCGGAGCCUCGUAAGGGGUGACGGCGUACCUUUUGUAUAAUGGGUCAGCGACUUACGUUCAGUAGCAAGCUUAACCGUAUAGGGCAGGCGUAGCGAAAGCGAGUCCGAAUAGGGCGUUCAGUUGCUGGGCGUAGACCCGAAACCAGGUGAUCUAUCCAUGGCCAGGAUGAAGGUGCGGUAACACGUACUGGAGGUCCGAACCCACUAACGUUGAAAAGUUAGGGGAUGAGCUGUGGAUAGGGGUGAAAGGCUAAACAAACCUGGAAAUAGCUGGUUCUCUCCGAAAACUAUUUAGGUAGUGCCUCGUGUCUCACCUUCGGGGGUAGAGCACUGUCAUGGUUGGGGGGUCUAUUGCAGAUUACCCCGCCAUAGCAAACUCCGAAUACCGAAGAGUGCAAUCACGGGAGACAGACAUCGGGUGCUAACGUCCGGUGUCAAGAGGGAAACAACCCAGACCGCCAGCUAAGGUCCCCAAAUAUAGCUAAGUGGGAAACGAAGUGGGAAGGCUAAAACAGUCAGGAGGUUGGCUUAGAAGCAGCCACCCUUUAAAGAAAGCGUAAUAGCUCACUGAUCGAGUCGUCCUGCGCGGAAGAUGUAACGGGGCUAAGCUAUAUACCGAAGCUGCGGAUGCGUGCUUAGCACGCAUGGUAGGAGAGCGUUCCGUAAGCCUGCGAAGGUGCCUUGUAAAGGGUGCUGGAGGUAUCGGAAGUGCGAAUGCUGACAUGAGUAGCGAUAAAGGGGGUGAAAGGCCCCCUCGCCGUAAGCCCAAGGUUUCCUACGCAACGUUCAUCGGCGUAGGGUGAGUCGGCCCCUAAGGCGAGGCAGAAAUGCGUAGCUGAUGGGAAGCAGGUCAAUAUUCCUGCACCAUUGUUAGAUGCGAUGGGGGGACGGAUCGCGGAAGGUUGUCCGGGUGUUGGAAGUCCCGGUCGCUGCAUUGGAGAAGGCGCUUAGGCAAAUCCGGGCGCGGAAUUCAAGGGUGUGGCGCGAGCUCCUUAGGGAGCGAAGCAAUUGGAAGUGGUUCCAAGAAAAGCCUCUAAGCUUCA